GCCGACGUAGCUCAAUUGGCAGAGCAGCUGAUUUGUAAUCAGCAGGUUACCAGUUCAAGUCUGGUCGUCGGCUCCA
This 76-nucleotide transfer RNA is filed under the name Bacillota bacterium. Its description in RNAcentral is "Firmicutes bacterium (anaerobic digester metagenome) tRNA-Thr". It matches the Rfam family "tRNA". Rfam says of the family: Transfer RNA (tRNA) molecules are approximately 80 nucleotides in length. The record is from RNAcentral. Lineage: Bacteria; Bacillati; Bacillota.